GGGUGAGUAAAAGGUAGGAAUCUACCCCUUGGACGGAGAUAGCUACUGGAAACGGUAGGUAAACUUCGAUAAGCCCGAGAGGGGAAAGUGGUGAGACAGCCGAGGGAUGAGCCUACUCUCCAUCAGGUAGUUGGUGAGAUAAAAGCUUACCAAGCCGAUGACGGAUAACCGGUGUGAGAGCAUGAACGGUCACAAGGGCACUGAGAGACGGGCCCUACUCCUACGGGAGGCAGCAGUGGGGAAUCUUGGACAAUGGGCGAAAGCCUGAUCCAGCGGCGCCGCGUGGAGGAAGAAGUCCUUCGGGAUGUAAACUUCUGAACUAACCGAAUAAAAGGCCUGUGGACACACAGGAGAAGAAAGUAGGCUAGGAAAAGUCCCGGCUAACUACGUGCCAGCAGCCGCGGUAAGACGUAGGGGGCAAGCGUUACCCGGAAUUACUGGGCGUAAAGGGGGCGUAGGCGGUAAAAGAAGUCAUCUGUGAAAACCUAUUGCUCAACGAUAGGCUAGCGGAUGAAACUGAAUUACUUGAGGGCACCAGAGGUAGACGGAAUUACCCGAGUAGGGGUGAAAUCCGCAGAUACGGGUAGGAACGCCGGUGGAGAAGUCGGUCUACUGGGGUGCACCAGACGCUGAGGCCCGAAAGCUAGGGGAGCAAACCGGAUUAGAUACCCGGGUAGUCCUAGCCGUAAACGAUGCUCACUAGGUGUAGGGAGUGAUAAACUCUCUGUGCUGAAGCGAACGCGCUAAGUGAGCCGCCUGGGGAGUACGUCCGCAAGGAUGAAACUCAAAGGAA
This 793-nucleotide ribosomal RNA is filed under the name uncultured bacterium. Its description in RNAcentral is "bacterial SSU rRNA". It matches the Rfam family "Bacterial small subunit ribosomal RNA", at positions 104 to 909 of the family's 1533-position model. The record is from RNAcentral.